This 798-nucleotide ribosomal RNA is filed under the name uncultured Glomeromycotina. RNAcentral describes it as "SSU rRNA". It matches the Rfam family "Eukaryotic small subunit ribosomal RNA", at positions 314 to 1114 of the family's 1831-position model. Lineage: Eukaryota; Fungi; Glomeromycota. The record is from RNAcentral.
AUCAACUUUCGAUGGUAGGAUAGAGGCCUACCAUGGUGGUAACGGGUAACGGGGUGUUAGGGCACGACACCGGAGAGGGAGCCUGAGAAACGGCUACCACAUCCAAGGAUGGCAGCAGGCGCGCAAAUUACCCAAUCCCGACACGGGGAGGUAGUGACAAUAAAUAACAAUACGGGGUUCUUUCGGAUCUCGUAAUUGGAAUGAGUACAAUUUAAAUCUCUUAACGAGGAACAAUUGGAGGGCAAGUCUGGUGCCAGCAGCCGCGGUAAUUCCAGCUCCAAUAGCGUAUAUUAAAGUUGUUGCAGUUAAAAAGCUCGUAGUUGAAUUUCGGGAUCAAAUUGUCGGUCGUGCCUCGGUACGUACUGGCGUUAUUGGUUCCUCCCUUCUGAAGAACCACGAUGUCAUUAAUUUGGUGUCGCGGGGAAUCAGGACUGUUACUUUGAAAAAAUUAGAGUGUUUAAAGCAGGCUCGCGCUUGAAUACAUUAGCAUGGAAUAAUGAAAUAGGACGUUUGAUUCUAUUUUGUUGGUUUCUAGGAUCGACGUAAUGAUUAAUAGGGAUAGUUGGGGGCAUUAGUAUUCAAUUGUCAGAGGUGAAAUUCUUGGAUUUAUUGAAGACUAACUACUGCGAAAGCAUUUGCCAAGGAUGUUUUCAUUAAUCAAGAACGAAAGUUAGGGGAUCGAAGACGAUCAGAUACCGUCGUAGUCUUAACCAUAAACUAUGCCGACUAGGGAUCGGAUGAUGUUAAUUUUUUAAUGACUCAUUCGGCGCCUUACGGGAAACCAAAGUGUUUGGGUUC